UACGGAAGGCAGCAGUGGGGAAUAUUGCACAAUGGGCGCAAGCCUGAUGCAGCCAUGCCGCGUGUAUGAAAAAGGCCUUCGGGUUGUAAAGUACUUUCAGUCGUGAGGAAGGUGUUAAGGUUAAUAACCUUAGCAAUUGACGUUAGCGACAGAAGAAGCACCGGCUAACUCCGUGCCAGCAGCCGCGGUAAUACGGAGGGUGCGAGCGUUAAUCGGAAUUACUGGGCGUAAAGGGCACGCAGGCGGUUAAUUAAGUUGGAUGUGAAAUCCCCGGGCUUAACCUGGGAAUGGCAUUCAAGACUGGUUAGCUAGAGUCUUGUAGAGGGGGUAGAAUUCCAUGUGUAGCGGUGAAAUGCGUAGAGAUGUGGAGGAAUACCGGUGGCGAAGGGCGGGCCCCUGGGACAAAGACUGACGCUCAUGUGCGAAAGCGUGGGGAGCAAACAGGGAUUAGAUACC
Molecule: ribosomal RNA, 456 nt
Filed under: uncultured bacterium
Lineage: Bacteria
Description: bacterial SSU rRNA
Rfam family: Bacterial small subunit ribosomal RNA
Source: RNAcentral